UUGAUCCGCCUAGCUCCGCACCGAUACCUCGGAUGACUCAUGUUGACCACGUGUUUUUGCGGUAUAUUGCAUGUUAACGAUUACUACCGAACAAUCCCGAAAGAGUUUCUGAAUCAUCGAAAAAUUUUUCCUUCAGCCAUCUUGAAAUUGUAAAGAACCCGGCUUGGUGCGGUAGAAGAAAUCCCUGUUAUCCUUUAUAACAAUUCGAUCUAUUGACACAAGAUGGGCUCCUGGGAUAGUUACGUGGAUGUCUUGAAGGGGGAUGGAAGUACAAUGCUAAAGUGUGGGAUAUACGACCAAGAAGGAAACCCCUGGGCUCUCUCCGCGGGAAUGAGCGCAACGCAAGCCCAAGUGAAACGACUCGCGUCACAUUAUGAGGACAGUUCAGAUUUUUAUAUCAAUGGGCCUGAAUUCGAGAAUUCCAAGUUUGCUUUUCUAAAGAAAGUGGAUGAUGGAGGAUUCCCUGUGCUGGUCUUCAAGCGCAAGGAUGCGGAUAACGAAGAGGACAAGCAUUUGUUGGUGGUAAUGAACACAAUAAAAGCGUGCUUAGUAGGAGUAGCCAAAGGUGGAGAGAAACACAAAAGCGUAGCAAUCAACUUAAUUAGGCAUGUGAACGAUGCAAUGCGAAAGUAUAAUUAUUGAGAGAGUACCAGCUCUAGCUAGGAAUUUUUUUUCAAAAAAGUGCUACAUUAUCACUUGAACUUAUUAUUGUCUUAACAACAAAUUACAGCAAGGCCAAUCUUUAAUUUUUUAUGAUUCUAUGAUUUAUAGAAUGUAAAGCAGUUUAUUAUUAUUAUUUUUAAUGCUAUGUUAAUCAUGAUGUAUAAGGGUAUUAUGGAAUUUAAGGUGAGAGAGUUGGACAUUUUUUACAGGAUGUCUGGAUGACUCAAAAAGUCAGAUGUUGUCAGUUCAAAAAGUGCUCUUCCACCCCCCUUUUUUUGGUCCCAAAGUGAUAGUGUUAUGUAUGCAAAGUUUGUGACAUAUCAGUGUAGUGGAGAUUGCAUGGAUUUCAACAGCAGAUAGUAGUGUGAAUCACAUACAGUUCAUUGUUUUAUUUUAUAUGCAUUUAAUUUUUUCACUUGAAAAGAAACAAAAAAUUAUUCUCAUUAAAUGUAGUAUAUAUGUGAUAAGUAAAAAAAAAAAAGGGCAGUGUAUAUUGCCCUAGCUAUCAUUAUUUGAGGUUGUAUUUCUCCAUUUUUGUUUGAUAAUACAUAUACCAGGGGAGCUUGCACUUACAUUCUUUUUUUUCUUUUUUAUGUAUGUUGUCAUAUAAUUAUUUACUUUAGUAUAUGAAAUUUGGGACAGUGCAUCAAUAAUGAUUGUGAUUAAAUCUUUUACUUUUAGUUUAUUAUAUUAUUAUUUUUUUUACACACUAAUAAAGGUUGUACACUUGUAUAAAUCCAAUAUUACAGAAGGGUUGUACUUUUGACAAGUAUAGGCAACGGUUUUUUUUCUUUAAAGGCAUCCAUUUCUGCUUGUUGUUUACCUUGCAGUUCUAUUUUUAUCAUUUGGUAGACUGUAGUGUAAGGGUUGCAUGUUAUGGCAACCAUCAAUGUCAAAAUCCUAGCUGCUCUGUCUGAUGGAACAACCACCAAGUGGUGCAUUCUUAUGCUUGAGGGGGGAGCAAGUAUUGCGUUCUCCAUCACCGAGAACACAUUAAGGAUCGAGAGUUAACCCGGCGUGGCAUUGUGGGUAUUAAACCCAAAAAACCAGGUUGUGUUGGUACUCGGUAAUUCACCAGCGAUUGGAAUUCCACGAGAUCCAGGGGCUUUUCAUUAAAGUAUUAACCUUUGGGCAUAGAAAUUUUACAUUGGAAGCUAUGCACUAGCAUAUAUUUUUAUUGGUGGUAAAAUUGUGUUGUCGUUAUUUUUUUUUCUCACAUUUGAUAUUAUUUUUAACAUGAAUGGUGCAUAUUUUCACCAAAGAAAAAAAAUAUUACUACGUGCAAAAUUUUGUUCAUUAAUGUUCUUUCAUACAUUUAAACAUUUUUGUUUGUGAUGGGGUUUUUUGCCUUUGUUGGUUGUUAAAGCUUACCUGGGCUAGUUGCCUACGAUGACUUAUCUCAUCAAAUUAUGUCAGUCAUUACAUUCAAAAGUAUGUAGCUAUACUAAUUGCGAUAGUAUUUUGUGAGCUUUUAUUCUCAAUUUAUUCAUAUUUUUUCCCCCAAGAUUAUUGAAAUCGAAAUUUGUCAUGGUUGACUUCAAAUUAUGAGCAGAACUUAAAUGAAUAUCCUUCUGGUGAGCUUUGUGAUCAUUGGCUUAUAUUUUUGAAUUACUAUAGAUCUGAAGAGAGUUAUCAGAGAGAAAGUGAUAAAUUUUUUGUUUGUUAAAGCUAAUUUUUUUCUCUAUGUUUAUCCAUUGUAAUAUUUUUUGCGCACAUUUGGGCAUCAUGUGGAAGAUAUGCCAAUUUGCAUAAUUAUAGUAUAUUUUUAUUUAGCUAUUAUUAUUUUAUUUGAUCUGAAACAUAUGCUGUUGUUCCCUUUACUUGCUUUUACAUUUUACUUCUGAGAGUGAAGUCUUUCUGUGUAAUAUCUUUUCUUUUUUUUUUUAGCAUGCACUGUAUUAGGCCAUGACAUUUAGCUUGGAAUUCUCUCUUAUUUAGUAUUCUGCUAAGAUACCUGUGUAUGAAGAAUAAUUUUGGACUUAAACACUAACUGUUAUAAAGUUCUUCAAAACUGUGUAACUGCUUCUUUGUGAUUUUGUAAAUACAAACAGCAUACUUUUAUGUUAGCAAAAAAGAAAUUAAAUGCUUAUAGUGCC
Magallana angulata is the source of this 2759-nucleotide long non-coding RNA. RefSeq lists it as uncharacterized. Lineage: Eukaryota; Metazoa; Mollusca; Bivalvia; Ostreida; Ostreidae. The record is from RefSeq and is a predicted model, not a curated record. The transcript is spliced from 2 exons.